AGUCGAACGGUAGCACAGGAGAGCUUGCUCUCGGGUGACGAGUGGCGGACGGGUGAGUAAUGUCUGGGAAACUGCCUGAUGGAGGGGGAUAACUACUGGAAACGGUAGCUAAUACCGCAUAACGUCGCAAGACCAAAGAGGGGGACCUUCGGGCCUCUUGCCAUCAGAUGUGCCCAGAUGGGAUUAGCUAGUAGGUGGGGUAACGGCUCACCUAGGCGACGAUCCCUAGCUGGUCUGAGAGGAUGACCAGCCACACUGGAACUGAGACACGGUCCCCACUCCUACGGGAGGCAGCAGUGGGGAAUAUUGCACAAUG
RNAcentral lists this ribosomal RNA (316 nucleotides) under Klebsiella oxytoca. RNAcentral describes it as "bacterial SSU rRNA". It matches the Rfam family "Bacterial small subunit ribosomal RNA", at positions 60 to 373 of the family's 1533-position model. The record is from RNAcentral. Lineage: Bacteria; Pseudomonadati; Pseudomonadota; Gammaproteobacteria; Enterobacterales; Enterobacteriaceae.